GCAGUCGUGGGGCAACAUGAAAUCUGAAUAAGAUUUUGAUGGCGACCGGCGAACGGGUGCGUAACACGUACGUAACUUACCUUUUGCUAGAAAAUAGCCUGAGGAAACUUAGAUUAAUAUUCUAUAGAAUAAAAAAUUCGCAUGAAUUUUUUAUUAAAGCAGUAAUGCGGCAAAAGAUAGGCGUGCGUCCGAUUAGUUAGUUGGUAAGGUAAAGGCUUACCAAGACAAUGAUCGGUAGGGGACCUGAGAGGGUGACCCCCCACACUGGUACUGAGACACGGACCAGACUCCUACGGGAGGCAGCAGUGAGGAAUAUUGGUCAAUGGAGGAAACUCUGAACCAGCCACGCCGCGUGCAGGAAGAAUGCCUUAUUAGGUUGUAAACUGCUUUUGUAUAGGAAUAAAAAUUUUUACGUGCUAAAAAUUCUGAAGGUACUAUACGAAUAAGUGUCGGCAAACUCCGUGCCAGCAGCCGCGGUAAUACGGGGGACACAAGCGUUAUCCGGUUUUAUUGGGUUUAAAGGGUGCGUAGGCGGUUUGUUAAGUCAGUAGUGAAAUAUUUCAGCUCAACUGAAAAAUUGCUAUUGAUACUAAUAGACUUGAGUGAGACUGGAGUAACUGGAAUGUGUGGUGUAGCGGUGAAAUGCAUAGAUAUCACACAGAACACCAAUCGCGAAAGCAGGUUACUAAGUCUAUUUACUGACGCUGAGGCACGAAAGCGUGGGGAGCAAACAGGAUUAGAUACCCUGGUAGUCCACGCCGUAAACGAUGAUCACUAGUUGUUGGAUUUUUUUCAGUGACUAAGCGAA
Molecule: ribosomal RNA, 808 nt
Filed under: Blattabacterium sp. (Supella longipalpa)
Lineage: Bacteria; Pseudomonadati; Bacteroidota; Flavobacteriia; Flavobacteriales; Blattabacteriaceae
Description: bacterial SSU rRNA
Rfam family: Bacterial small subunit ribosomal RNA
Source: RNAcentral